AAGUCAGUUGUGAAAGCCUUCCGCUUAACGGAAGAACGGCAUCUGAUACUACAGGGCUUGAGUACGGGAGGGGAGAGUGGAACUUCUGGUGGAGCGGUGAAAUGCGUAGAUAUCAGAAGGAACGCCGGCGGCGAAAGCGACUCUUUGGUCCGAAACUGACGCUGAGUGUGCGAAAGCUAGGGGAGCAAACGGGAUUAGAUACCCCGGUAGUCCUGGCCGUAAACGAU
This 227-nucleotide ribosomal RNA is filed under the name uncultured bacterium. Its description in RNAcentral is "partial 16S ribosomal RNA". It matches the Rfam family "Bacterial small subunit ribosomal RNA", at positions 585 to 810 of the family's 1533-position model. The record is from RNAcentral.